GAAUCGUCCAAACGUUGUUCGGAUUCACUGGGUUUAAAGGGCGCGUAGGCGGUGCGUUAAGUCGGCGGUGAAAUACUUCGGCUCAACCGGAGAAUUGCCGCUGAAACUGGCGUGCUCGAGGGAGGUAGAGGUGCGUGGAACUUCCGGUGGAGCGGUGAAAUGCGUUGAUAUCGGAAGGAACACCUGUGGCGAAAGCGAUGCACUGGACCUCUUCUGACGCUGAGGCGCGAAAGCCAGGGGAGCGAACGGGAUUAGAUACCCCGGUAGUCCUGGCCAUAAACGAUGGGGACUAGAGAGUAGAUGCUCCGAUGUAUUUACUCUCGAAGCAAAAGUGGUAAGUCCCCCACCUGGGGAGUAUGGUCGCAAGGCUG
Molecule: ribosomal RNA, 371 nt
Filed under: uncultured bacterium
Lineage: Bacteria
Description: bacterial SSU rRNA
Rfam family: Bacterial small subunit ribosomal RNA
Source: RNAcentral